This 631-nucleotide long non-coding RNA is filed under the name Homo sapiens (human). RNAcentral's name for it is "HSALNT0405822". The record is from RNAcentral. Lineage: Eukaryota; Metazoa; Chordata; Mammalia; Primates; Hominidae.
CCGGAGCCGGGAUCCCGGGCCGGGUCGGGAUGAAAGGGUGCAAGCUGGGAGCUCCCCGCCCUUCUUCCCCCAACCCCGGCGGCUCCCGGCCGCCUCGGGCUUGGCGUGCCUCGCGGAAAAAGGGGGAAGGGAAGCGGGACGGGCCCGCAGCUGCCGUGGUAGAGAGGCUCGCAGGCUUGCAGGACCAUGCAGCCUGCUCCCCAAAUUGCACAAAACAGCCGUCGUGAGAAGUAGGAAGUUUCCCCGCCUCGGGUCGCAGCUUCUCUCGGAGCCUCGUGAAACAACGACCCCCACCAGCAGCAGCAGCGCCCGCUUUGCCCCGGCUCCGGAGCGCUGUUUACCUAAUCUCAGCGGCUGACCGAGCCCAGCAGAAUGCGAAAGGGAGGCAGCGGUGGUACAGCAGCGUCCCCGGCGAAGAAGUAAAAGACGUUUGCUUUGGAGCUUCGGGAUAAGUUAACUGCGAAGCUGGGGUCCUGCUGUCUUACCUCUGCGGCGAUGAGCCUCACCGUGCACGUUGGCAGGCAUAGCAGAUUCUGUUUCUGAUGCCAUUACCGUGUCGGAGAAGAACAUUAUAUGAAAAAAUACUAUCUAAUAUCCUAGAGACCAUUAAAGUGUCAAAGUUUAAUGCCAA